Molecule: non-coding RNA, 267 nt
Organism: Nicotiana tabacum (common tobacco)
Lineage: Eukaryota; Viridiplantae; Streptophyta; Magnoliopsida; Solanales; Solanaceae
Source: RefSeq, a predicted model, not a curated record
UUCAGGUUUUUGGCACUCAAUUACCAAAGACACAAAGUAUGCCUGAAAGUACUGGAGGUGAUUCCCAACCUACCAAUGCUGAGGUAAUGAAGGAGUUACAAGCUUUGAAGCUUUUUGUAGAGAACAAGUUUGAGGAGGUGCUUGCAGCUAUUGGUAGGCAGUCAGUGAAACCAGAGGGAAAUUCAGCGCACAAGCAACAGGAUGAUGAUUUGCGUUCUGCCCCCUUCGUAAAUGAGCAUGAUUUUGGUUUGGAUUCUAACUUUGAAC